Molecule: ribosomal RNA, 159 nt
Filed under: Symbiodinium sp. MMSG-2000
Lineage: Eukaryota; Dinophyceae; Suessiales; Symbiodiniaceae
Description: 5.8S ribosomal RNA
Rfam family: 5.8S ribosomal RNA
About the family: 5.8S ribosomal RNA (5.8S rRNA) is a component of the large subunit of the eukaryotic ribosome. It is transcribed by RNA polymerase I as part of the 45S precursor that also contains 18S and 28S rRNA. Functionally, it is thought that 5.8S rRNA may be involved in ribosome translocation.
Source: RNAcentral
ACAACUUUCAGCGACGGAUAUCUCGGCUCAGGCACCUAUGAAGGGCGCAGCGAAGCGUGAUAGUCCUUGUGAAUUGCAGAUCUCCGUGAACCAAUGGCCCCCUGAACGCGCAUUGCACUCUUGGGACUUCCUGAGAGUAUGUUUGCUUCAGUGCUUAUU